RNAcentral lists this long non-coding RNA (1548 nucleotides) under Ananas comosus (pineapple). Its description in RNAcentral is "long non-coding RNA (ACOM_LNC035371)". The record is from RNAcentral. Lineage: Eukaryota; Viridiplantae; Streptophyta; Magnoliopsida; Poales; Bromeliaceae.
AAGGGAACCAAAACAGGAAUUCAAGUUACUAUUUUGUACUAAGUGCGAAUUGUGCCGAAAUUGGACAUUUCGAUUGUAGUAUUGAUGUGAUUUCGUGCUUUGUUUUCAGCAGGAUUGAGACUUCGUUGAGCUGAAUAUUGGAACUUCUUGUGACUGGAUUGAGCCUAGUGAUAGGUGGGUUUGACCUAACCAGAGCAAGUGAAGCUCCCCUAUGUUCUAUAUGAUACUAUAGAAAUAGCAUAUGAAUGCAUUUUGCGUAACUUGGGAAUCGACAUAGGUUCAAGACAUGAUUACCAUUAUAGUUGCUAUAUGUAUGUGUCUGCCACCACGAAUGACGCACCUCGCACGGCUGAUGGAUUUCAGGCCGUGGGGUAGUAUUCAUGAUUCAGAUUAAUAUUUAAAUAUGUAUGGUUAUCAGGUUUUGUGGAUUCAUGACUUCCAAUAAACGCAAGCGUCUAUUGUUAAUUACCCCUACAAAGUGUUAGGGCACCUUCGAUUAAGAGACCUUUGUAAUGCUGUGAUUGAAUAAAAGAUGAAUUUUAUAACAUAAUUCAGUAUGACGGUUGAUUGAAUUUGAUUCUGAACCAAGAUAUUAUUCAUCCUAAGGUGAAAGGUUGGUUAAAUUCCCAGUAUAUACAUUGGAAUUUAAUCAGAUUUGAUUCAAAUUAAACUCUAAUUAAAUGAAUUAGAGUUUGAUUUAGUUAAUUGAACUUUAAAUAUAUGUGAUAAAGUCCAAUGAGAUUUGAAAUAUUUUGGAUUAGACUCUAAUUUUAUAUUUUAAAGUCUAGUAUAAUUAAGCUCUAUGCUUAUAUGUUCAAGCUCAAUUAAGUUCACCAUAAAGCCAAAUAUUAACUAAAUCCUAAUUAUAUGUAUUAGGACUAGUCAAAAUUUGAUUUAAAUUAAACUCUAAGUGUAUGUAUUAGAGUCUAAUUUGGUUUCACAUGAACUAAAUCCUAAUUACAUAUGUUAGGAUUAGUCAAAAUAUUUUAAAUUAAACUCUAAAUGUAUAUAUUAGAGUCCAAUUUAAUUUCGUUUGGGUUUGCCAUAAGAUGAAUUUAUGUCCACCAUGUAGCGAGAUACGGACCAAAUCCUAAUUAUAUGUGUUAGGAUUAGCCGAAAUUAAACUCUAAGUGUAUGUGUUAGAGUCUAAUCAAGAGAUGAAUCAACUAAAUCCUAAUUUUAUAAGUUAGGAUUAGUUAAAGUUUAAACUCUAAGUGUAUGUAUUAGAGUUUAAUUUAAUGAACUCUAAGUAUAUAUAUUAGAGCUCAAUUGAUUUGAUCGGGUGAAACCUUGUAUAUGGUUUGAUCAAUUCUAAUUAAAUAUUUUAGAAUUUGAUCGAGUUUGAAUAUGUCAAGAUUUAGCUCUAGUUAUAUAUGCUAGAGAAAAGGUUUGAUAUGGGCUCAUUUGAAUUGGAAUUAAUUGGGUUGGGUUCGGCUUGGAUCAAUUUGGAUACAUAAUUGGAUUGGGUUUGGUUUAAUUGUGUAGGUUGGCUAUUGGGUUUGGAUUCAGGUUUAACAUGGAUUGGUUUCAUUUUGAUUUGGGUUUAGG